UGGCGGCGUGCUUAACACAUGCAAGUCGAACGGAAAGGCCGUCUUCGGGGGUACUCGAGUGGCGAACGGGUGAGUAACACGUGAGUAACCUGCCCUUGACUUUGGGAUAACUUCAGGAAACUGGGGCUAAUACCGGAUAGGAGCUCCUGCUGCAUGGUGGGGUUGGAAAGUUUCGGCGGUUGGGGAUGGACUCGCGGCUUAUCAGCUUGUUGGUGGGGUAGUGGCUUACCAAGGCUUUGACGGGUAGCCGGCCUGAGAGGGUGACCGGCCACAUUGGGACUGAGAUACGGCCCAGACUCCUACGGGAGGCAGCAGUGGGGAAUAUUGCACAAUGGGUGGAAGCCUGAUGCAGCAACGCCGUGUGCGGGAUGACGGCCUUCGGGUUGUAAACCGCUUUCGCUCAUGACGAAGCUUUGUGUGACGGUAGUGGGUAAAGAAGCACCGGCUAACUACGUG
This 456-nucleotide ribosomal RNA is filed under the name uncultured bacterium. RNAcentral's name for it is "bacterial SSU rRNA". It matches the Rfam family "Bacterial small subunit ribosomal RNA", at positions 37 to 507 of the family's 1533-position model. The record is from RNAcentral.